GAUGAACGCUAGCGGCAGGCUUAAUACAUGCAAGUUGAGGGGCAGCACGAUAUACGCAAGUAUAUUGAUGGCGACCGGCGGACGGGUGAGUAAAAGGUAGGAGACCUACCUCAUACAGGGGGAUAGCAUAGAGAAAUCUGUGGUAAUACCCCAUGAGGUUAUAUGAAUAGAGGCAUAUAAUCAAAGUAUACGAGAGUAUGCGGUAUGAGAUGGGCCUACUGACCAUUAGCUAGUUGGUGAGGUAAGGGCUCACCAAGGCGAAGAUGGUUAGGGGUUUUGAGAGAGAGAUCCCCCACAUUGGAACUGAGAUACGGUCCAGACUCCUACGGGAGGCAGCAGUAGGGAAUAUUGGGCAAUGGGCGAAAGCCUGACCCGGCCAUGCCGCGUGAAGGAAGACGGCCUUAUGGGUUGUAAACUUCUUUACUAUACGAAUAGAGGUUAGUACGAGUUACUAAUAGGAAGGUAGUAUAGCAAAAAGCACCGGCUAACUCCGUGCC
Molecule: ribosomal RNA, 497 nt
Filed under: uncultured bacterium
Lineage: Bacteria
Description: bacterial SSU rRNA
Rfam family: Bacterial small subunit ribosomal RNA
Source: RNAcentral